CCCCGACUAGCUCUGCUGGCAGAGCGUAAGACUCAUAAUCUCAGGGUAGUGGGUUCGUGUCCCACAUCGGGCU
RNAcentral lists this transfer RNA (73 nucleotides) under Lepisosteus oculatus (spotted gar). It matches the Rfam family "tRNA". Rfam says of the family: Transfer RNA (tRNA) molecules are approximately 80 nucleotides in length. Their secondary structure includes four short double-helical elements and three loops (D, anti-codon, and T loops). The record is from Rfam by way of RNAcentral. Lineage: Eukaryota; Metazoa; Chordata; Actinopteri; Semionotiformes; Lepisosteidae.